AUUGAACGCUGGCGGCAUGCCUUACACAUGCAAGUCGAACGGCAGCACGGGAGCAAUCCUGGUGGCGAGUGGCGAACGGGUGAGUAAUAUAUCGGAACGUGCCCAGUAGUGGGGGAUAGCCCGGCGAAAGCCGGAUUAAUACCGCAUACGACCUGUGGGUGAAAGCGGGGGAUCGCAAGACCUCGCGCUAUUGGAGCGGCCGAUAUCAGAUUAGCUAGUUGGUGGGGUAAAGGCCUACCAAGGCGACGAUCUGUAGCUGGUCUGAGAGGACGACCAGCCACACUGGGACUGAGACACGGCCCAGACUCCUACGGAGGCAGCAGUGGGGAAUUUUGGACAAUGGGCGCAAGCCUGAUCCAGCCAUGCCGCGUGUGGGAAGAAGGCC
RNAcentral lists this ribosomal RNA (385 nucleotides) under uncultured bacterium. RNAcentral describes it as "bacterial SSU rRNA". It matches the Rfam family "Bacterial small subunit ribosomal RNA", at positions 29 to 416 of the family's 1533-position model. The record is from RNAcentral.